RNAcentral lists this small nucleolar RNA (118 nucleotides) under Echinops telfairi (small Madagascar hedgehog). RNAcentral describes it as "Small nucleolar RNA SNORA1 (ENSETEG00000025934.1)". The record is from RNAcentral. Lineage: Eukaryota; Metazoa; Chordata; Mammalia; Afrosoricida; Tenrecidae.
AGCCUCGGUCUGUGAAAGUGGGCACAGCUGGUCCUGGGGUGCAGAGGGGCAGCUGGGGCUGCAGGAUGACAGGCACCGUGGGUUAGUUUCAGUGGUGACAAUGAGGCCUGUAACACUU